CGGGUGAGUAACACGUAUCCAACCUGCCGUCUACUCUUGGACAGCCUUCUGAAAGGAAGAUUAAUACAAGAUGGCAUCAUGAGUCCGCAUGUUCACAUGAUUAAAGGUAUUCCGGUAGACGAUGGGGAUGCGUUCCAUUAGAUAGUAGGCGGGGUAACGGCUCACCAAGCCUUCGAUGGAUAGGGGUUCUGAGAGGAAGGUCCCCCACAUUGGAACUGAGACACGGUCCAA
Molecule: ribosomal RNA, 231 nt
Filed under: uncultured bacterium
Lineage: Bacteria
Description: partial 16S ribosomal RNA
Rfam family: Bacterial small subunit ribosomal RNA
Source: RNAcentral